This 76-nucleotide transfer RNA is filed under the name Actinobaculum massiliense. RNAcentral's name for it is "tRNA-Thr". It matches the Rfam family "tRNA". Rfam says of the family: Transfer RNA (tRNA) molecules are approximately 80 nucleotides in length. Their secondary structure includes four short double-helical elements and three loops (D, anti-codon, and T loops). Lineage: Bacteria; Bacillati; Actinomycetota; Actinomycetes; Actinomycetales; Actinomycetaceae. The record is from RNAcentral. RNAcentral also lists the same sequence under 1 other name.
GCCACCUUAGCUCAGUCGGCAGAGCGAUUCACUCGUAAUGAAUAGGUCAUGAGUUCGAUUCUCAUAGGUGGCUCCA